GGCAAGGACGUGCCGGGGGGCGCGGGCAUACGGUGGGUGAAGGCUUCGUCCGGAGUUGUUGGGCGUAAAGAGCGCGUAGGGGGGUUGUCCCGUCGGCUGUGAAAACCUGGGGCUCAACCCGCGGCCUGCAGCCGAUACGGGCAAGCUAGAAUUCGGUAGGGGAGACUGGAAUGCCGGGUGUAGCGGUGAAAUGCGCAGAUAUCAGGAGGAACACCGGUGGCGAAGGCGGGUCUCUGGGCCGAUAUUGACGCUGAGGAGCGAAAGCGUGGGGAGCGAACAGGAUUAGAUACCCCGGUAGUC
This 300-nucleotide ribosomal RNA is filed under the name uncultured Ferroglobus sp. Its description in RNAcentral is "bacterial SSU rRNA". It matches the Rfam family "Bacterial small subunit ribosomal RNA", at positions 496 to 795 of the family's 1533-position model. Lineage: Archaea; Methanobacteriati; Methanobacteriota; Archaeoglobi; Archaeoglobales; Archaeoglobaceae. The record is from RNAcentral.